RNAcentral lists this long non-coding RNA (1136 nucleotides) under Homo sapiens (human). Its description in RNAcentral is "HSALNT0237580". Lineage: Eukaryota; Metazoa; Chordata; Mammalia; Primates; Hominidae. The record is from RNAcentral.
CUGGAUCUGAAGGUUGUAGAAACUCGCAGAAAGAAGCCAUCAAAGUGACUUGGAAAGAGAAAGGUCUGGAAGAAAGCGCACGAGACAUUUAACAGUGUUUUUGUGUGAAGAGGAGACGGCUAGGAGAGGGGAUUCAGCAGGAGACCGGAAAUCCCCCUAGUUCUUGAGGCUUCCUGAGCAUGUGACCAGUGCAACUCUUACCAGGAGGGCCUGUCACUAAACACACUUAGCAAAUCGAUGAAGAUCUUGUAGCAACACUUCGCCCUCUGAGAUCCAGUUGCAUCCAUCUGUCCCUUUUGUUAUCAUUUCAUCCAGAAACCAACUGUCUGAAGACUCUUGCAUUUUCAAAAAUGGAUAAAAUGGUUAUCCACUAAAAACAAAAUCCAUGACUGAUGGUAAGUUUCUUUCCCUGGUGUAUACAAACCUCAACUGGAGAUUCCUGGCUGGAUGGACAUGGGGGCUGAGGCUGCUGUAGCCCUCUUUUAUUGCUAGUCUGCCUCCCCACCGUGGCUCAGAGUUGUACACCUGUUCCAAGUAGCUGAGGAUUCAUGGGAUGUUUGCAGCAGCUGAACACUCCUCACAAAUGCUCUGGAAGGAAUGCACAUGUCUCAAGAAGUUAUUGAAUCUUUUUUUUUUUUCAUUUUCUAAGGAAUUCUUCUAAAAAGCUCUGGUCCUCUGGCAAGGAAUACAGGUGAAAUUUUACUCCUACAAGAUCAUUGUCAAUUUAAGGCCAGGUUCAAUCUGGCUGGAGUCAGGAAUGACAACAUAAAUGCAUUGCAGCUGUUUUAUUUUUUAGGCUAAUAUUAAGAGGGAAAGAAUCGCACACCAUUCCCAGGUGGAGGGUAUAAGUGGAGAUUUUAAGAAAGAAUUUAUAAUUUUUCUGAUUAUAAUAACAAAGGAGUAUGAUAGAAAAUCUGAAAAAUGAUAAUAAUAAUACUGCAAAAUAUCACAACCCAGAGAUAAAUGUUAGAGUUUUGCCUUUCUUUCCAUUUAAAAAUGUGUCUCCUUUUGGCUUUAUAUAUAAACAAUUGUGUUCAUGUUCUACCUAAGCUAAGUUUUUGCAUACGAUAGCCUGCACAUUUUUUCAUUCUUUAAAAAUUUCCAAAACUUAUUGUAAAAUUUGGUUUUAAAUUUCU